Molecule: unclassified non-coding RNA, 2857 nt
Filed under: uncultured fungus
Lineage: Eukaryota; Fungi
Description: sequence contains 18S rRNA gene, ITS1, 5.8S rRNA gene, ITS2, 28S rRNA gene
Rfam family: Bacterial large subunit ribosomal RNA (bases 462-2857)
Source: RNAcentral
GGCUGGAUCACCUCCUUUCUAAGGUGCUAAAAGCACAAAACAAGUAACACCACACUCGGACCUCACUAUUUAGUUUUGAGAGAGCAAGCUUGAGCAGGCCAAGGAGCUUUAUGCCUCAGUCUAAAGCCCUGAAAGUUUUAGACUGAUUUUGUUUCUCUGCGGAGGGCCUAUAGCUCAGUCUCGGUUAGAGCGCACGCCUGAUAAGCGUGAGGUCGUUGGUUCAAGUCCAACUAGGCCCACCAUUUGCACGGGGGUGUAGCUCAGCUGGAAGAGCACCUGCUUUGCACGCAGGGGGUCAUCGGUUCAAAUCCGUUCACCUCCACCAGUUUUGUAGAGGCGGGUUUAAAACUCGCCGGUACCGAAAAAUUUGCCGGGGAUGUAGCACGUUUCCGGUUGCUCUUUGACAAGUGAAUCUGGAAGAAAGAGAAGUCCUUAGGAGUUUCCCAAAGCAAGGGGUUUAUGGUCAAGCUACUAAGGGCGAUCGGUGGAUGACUAGGCGUUGAGAGGCGAUGAAGGACGUGGCUAGCUGCGUUAAGCUUCGGGGAGCCGCUAAACAGGCUAUGAGCCGGAGAUUUCCGAAUGGGGCAACCCAUCCAGGGUAAUGCUUGGAUAUCGUGCACUGAAUACAUAGGUGUACGAGGCGAACGGGGAGAAGUGAAACAUCUCAGUACCCCCAGGAAGAGAAAUCAAUUGAGAUUCCCUCAGUAGCGGCGAGCGAACGGGGAACAGCCUAAACCGUUUAUGUGUAAGCCGGCCAGCGUUGCAUAGACGGUGUUGUGGGGCCAGUUUGGAGAGGAUGGCCGUCCUCUCGGAAAGUUACCAACCGCUUAUCUAGGUGAAGGGUCUGGAAAGGCCCACCAUAGAAGGUGAUAGUCCUGUAGGCGAAAGGUAAGCGGCUUUCUGUUACUGGUUCCCAAGUACCACGGGACACGUGGAACCCCGUGGGAAUCUGGGUGGACCAUCAUCCAAGGCUAAAUACUCCUCAACGACCGAUAGUGAACUAGUACCGUGAGGGAAAGUUGAAAAGAACCGCGGGAGCGGAGUGAAAUAGAACCUGAAACCGAUCGCUUACAAGCUGUGGAAGGACGAUAGCAGGUUUCGGCCUGCUCGUCUAACUGCGUGCCUUUUGCAUAAUGAGUCAGCGACUUACUCUAAGUGGCGAGGUUAAGCCGUAAGGUGGAGCCGUAGCGAAAGCGAGUCUUAAUAGGGCGUAUUAGUCGCUUGGAGUAGACCCGAAGCCGGGUGAUCUAUCCAUGGCCAGGGUGAAGGUCGGUUAACACCGACUGGAGGCCCGAACCGGUUAACGUUGAAAAGUUAUCGGAUGAGCUGUGGAUAGGAGUGAAAGGCUAAUCAAACUCGGUGAUAGCUGGUUCUCCCCGAAAUAUAUUGAGGUAUAGCCUCGCAUGAUGAGCGUCGGAGGUAGAGCACUGGAUGGACUAGGGGUCUCACAAGAUUACCAAACCCAACCAAACUCCGAAUGCCGACGUCUUUAGUGCGGGAGUCAGACUGCGGGAGAUAAGUUCCGUAGUCGAGAGGGAAACAGCCCAGACCGCCAGCUAAGGUCCCUAAAUUCGUGCUAAGUGGGAAAGGAUGUGGAUCCGCCCAGACAACCAGGAGGUUGGCUCAGAAGCAGCCACCCUUUAAAGAAUGCGUAAUAGCUCACUGGUCGAGUGGGUCUGCGCCGAAAAUGUACCGGGGCUCAAGCACAGUACCGAAGCUGCGGAUGUAAGGUUAAUCCUUAUGUGGUAGGGGAGCGUUGUCGUAACCUGCGAAGGCGUACCGUGAGGAGCGCUGGAGGUCCGACAAGUGUUUAUGCUGACAUGAGUAACGAUAAACGGGGCGAGAAACCCCGUCGCCGUAAGCCUAAGGUUUCCUGGGUAAAGUUAAUCUUCCCAGGGUUAGUCGAUCCCUAAGCCGAGGCCGAAAGGCGUAGGUGAUGGAAAACAGGUUGAUAUUCCUGUACCACCUGAUUCGCAGUGACCGAUGGGGGGACGCAGGAGGGUAGGCCAUCCGGGUGUUGGACGUCCCGGUUCAAGCUGGUAGGGGGGAGUUCGAGGCAAAUCCCGAAUUCCUUAACCCCGAGAAGCGAUGAGGAGAGGCGAAAGCCUCGCAAACUGGUUGAUCCCACGCUGCCAAGAAAAGCCUCUAGGUAGUUAAUCAGGUGAUCGUACUGUAAACCGACACAGGUAGGCAGGGAGAAUAUCCUAAGGCGCUCGAGAGAACCCUGGUUAAGGAACUCGGCAAAAUAGCACCGUAACUUCGGGAGAAGGUGCGCCCCGGUUGGUGAUGAGACUUGCUCUCUGAGCUCGCUGGGGUUGCAGUGAAAUGGGGGUGGCGACUGUUUACUAAAAACACAGGACUCUGCGAAGUCGCAAGACGAUGUAUAGGGUCUGACGCCUGCCCGGUGCCGGAACGUUAAGGGGAGGGGUCAUCUGGGGUAACCCGGAGAAGCUCUGAACCGAAGCGCCGGUAAACGGCGGCCGUAACUAUAACGGUCCUAAGGUAGCGAAAUUCCUUGUCGGGUAAGUUCCGACCUGCACGAAUGGCGUAACGACUGCCCCGCUGUCUCGACCAGGGACUCGGUGAAAUUGUAUUCGCGGUGAAGAUGCCGUGUACCCGCACCAAGACGGAAAGACCCCGUGCACCUUUACUAUAGCUUGGCAUUGAAUUUUGGGAUAAUUUGUGUAGGAUAGGUGGGAGACGAUGAUCUCCGGAUGCUAGUUCGGAGGGAGCCAACCUUGAAAUACCACCCUGAUUAUUCCAGACUUCUAACCCAGACCCGUAAUCCGGGUCGGGGACACUGCCUGGUGGGUAGUUUGACUGGGGCGGUCGCCUCCUAAAGAGUAACGGAGGCGCG